RNAcentral lists this transfer RNA (91 nucleotides) under Gammaproteobacteria bacterium. Its description in RNAcentral is "tRNA-Ser". It matches the Rfam family "tRNA". Rfam says of the family: Transfer RNA (tRNA) molecules are approximately 80 nucleotides in length. Their secondary structure includes four short double-helical elements and three loops (D, anti-codon, and T loops). Further hydrogen bonds mediate the characteristic L-shaped molecular structure. tRNAs have two regions of fundamental functional importance: the anti-codon, which is responsible for specific mRNA codon recognition, and the 3' end, to which the tRNAs corresponding amino acid is attached (by aminoacyl-tRNA synthetases). tRNAs cope with the degeneracy of the genetic code in two manners: having more than one tRNA (with a specific anti-codon) for a particular amino acid; and 'wobble' base-pairing, i.e. permitting non-standard base-pairing at the 3rd anti-codon position. Lineage: Bacteria; Pseudomonadati; Pseudomonadota; Gammaproteobacteria. The record is from RNAcentral.
GGAGAGGUGUCCGAGCGGUCUAAGGAGCACGCCUGGAAAGCGUGUAUACGGCAACCCCGUAUCGCGGGUUCGAAUCCCGCCCUCUCCGCCA